CAUUACAAAGGCGAUGCUCUAACCUCUGAGCUAAGCGGGC
This 40-nucleotide transfer RNA is filed under the name Sedum album. Its description in RNAcentral is "partial tRNA-Thr". Lineage: Eukaryota; Viridiplantae; Streptophyta; Magnoliopsida; Saxifragales; Crassulaceae. The record is from RNAcentral.